RNAcentral lists this microRNA precursor (61 nucleotides) under Cavia porcellus (domestic guinea pig). RNAcentral describes it as "microRNA cpo-mir-12079 precursor". The record is from miRBase by way of RNAcentral. Lineage: Eukaryota; Metazoa; Chordata; Mammalia; Rodentia; Caviidae.
CACACUCUCUGAACCCACUGCUCAUCUGCAUAGAUCGUGACAUGGGAUUGGAGAGUGACCU